This 253-nucleotide ribosomal RNA is filed under the name uncultured bacterium. RNAcentral's name for it is "partial 16S ribosomal RNA". It matches the Rfam family "Bacterial small subunit ribosomal RNA", at positions 524 to 776 of the family's 1533-position model. The record is from RNAcentral.
UACGAAGGGGGCUAGCGUUGUUCGGAUUUACUGGGCGUAAAGCGCACGUAGGCGGUCUAUUAAGUCAGGGGUGAAAUCCCGGGGCUCAACCCCGGAACUGCCUUUGAUACUGGUAGUCUUGAGUUCGAGAGAGGUGAGUGGAAUUCCGAGUGUAGAGGUGAAAUUCGUAGAUAUUCGGCGGAACACCAGUGGCGAAGGCGACUCACUGGCCCGAUACUGACGCUGAGGCGCGAAAGCGUGGGGAGCAAACAGG